This is a long non-coding RNA of Aquila chrysaetos chrysaetos, 421 nucleotides long. RefSeq lists it as uncharacterized. NCBI's taxonomy places the organism in Eukaryota, Metazoa, Chordata, Aves, Accipitriformes, Accipitridae. The record is from RefSeq and is a predicted model, not a curated record. The transcript has 4 exons.
ACAACUCAUUUCAUCCCAAAAUCUCAGUUUUCAUCACAAACUCCAGUAAACAAAGUCUCCUGAUAGCCUUUUAUGUUAGUAUUAGUAACUCCAGUCAUGAACUCACCUGAAGCAAUUAUCCAGGGACUUCCUAAUUGUAUUCCAUCAUAACACGGGGAGUUACGCAGGGUAUUAUUUUAAGGCUGUUAGCACCUCUUGGCCUGUGACUCCAACACUGGAAGAGUGCUGGGCACAGCAGGUGUCUUGAGAGCAUCUGGUGUAGGAAUGAGAAGUGCGUUCUGCUCCAUUUCCAUGGAAAUCUCUCUGAAGAUGGAGCUAAUUUGGAAGAAAAUGUUCUCUUUGCAUCUAAGGCCCUUUUCUUAAAUGAGGACCUGUCCCUUGUGUGAAAUGCUGCGUGAACUCGGAAGGAACAGUGUGUCCU